Molecule: long non-coding RNA, 2503 nt
Filed under: Nicotiana benthamiana
Lineage: Eukaryota; Viridiplantae; Streptophyta; Magnoliopsida; Solanales; Solanaceae
Description: long non-coding RNA (NBEN_LNC023411)
Source: RNAcentral
UCCAGAAUAAAAAGUUACAUCACAAAAGUACAAAGAAAAGUACAACCAGAGGAAGCAUGAUUCUUGACUUCCUAUCUGAGUUAUGAGAUCGACCAAAUCAAAGACCAUUAAUCUAAAGCCUUUCUCCAAUUUGAGUGUGUUAGAGAUUCUUAAGAGCCUCAAUGGAACUCCGGGUAGUGCUCACACCCAAAUUGUAUCACCAGAAUAGGGACAAGUGCAGUGUGGAAGUGCCAGCCCUCAAGUAUCCAAGUUCAGAGGGAGCUUAAAGUGUCCCAAGGCAAGGCUCACAAGAGGGAGGGCAGAACUUAGGUCUAAGAGAGAGUGCAAGUGCAGAAAUAGAGUUUUAAGAACUAAGGAAGUAAAGAAGAGGGAAAGAGAUGUUGGGAAAUAGUUACAGAGCGAAGGAUUUCACACAAAUGGGGUUCAGGGAUUGGGAACUGCAAAUAGCCUAUGUACUUAGGCAUUAGUUAAUUUUGGUCAUGCACAACAAUAGGGAGUGUUUUCAUGCUUACAAAAUCAACCAGAAUACACAACAUAUAAUGGUAAUAUAGAGGUUAUAAUCCUAGGGGAAUCAAGUUUGAGUCAUAGACAACAAUAUUUAGUACUGUCAUACCUGAAACAAGCCAUCAGUACCAAACACAUUGGAAUAUGGGUUUAGGAUGCAUAAUACAUUCAGAACAGGCAGAAGGGAAUUACAACAUGCUCAGAGUAAAGUGCUGAAUUAAAAACAAGCAGUAGACAGACAAGAAAACAAAAAUAUUAAAUAAACAUAUUGUUGUGAUGAUGAAAUCUUAAUCAGUACAUACCAGUUCAAAGAAACAAAAAUACAGUAAAAGCAGGUAGCAGGACUUUGAAGACAUGCCACAAUACAAGUAACAAGAGAGAAUAUUUUGAGUAUGGAUAUGAGUUCAAAAACUAAGAGUGUUCGUGUGUCCUUGUGUUAAUGAAAGAGCAAUGUACUUAUAGUUUGAAAACAAGUAGAAAAUAAGGCAAGAAUCAUAGUUUAGUAGUAAUUAUAGAACUAUGUGUCAAUUAAAAUAGAAUCAGUACUAAGGACUUCCUUUGAUUAAGGAGAUAAAACUAAACGGUAACGGGUAGAAAACAUUUAAGGAAAGAAAUCAUGUAGAGCAUCAUGUGCAUAAUAGGCAAUUAGAAGUAAGUACAUAGAGGUUUAGUUAAGGGAAUAACUAAUGAAUAAUCUUUGUAAUACUCGGUUAACCCAAUAAGGCAAGGAACACAAUAAAUUUGCAGAAUAGGGAGACAAUCAACAGAUAGUAAAUCAAGAAGUCAAGGAUUCGAAAUUACUAAUUUAAGGAGAGUGACAUGGGCUCCCAUGAAUUAAACGAAUUAACCAAUUUAAAGACAAGAGAAUCGAAAGUCUAAAGGGAAAAUUUCAAAUCAAUUCAAGAAUCAGGGAAAUCAGUAAAACAAGAAAAGAAUCAAUUACUUAAUACACGAAUGCAAUCAGAAUUACACAAAGGAGUGGUUUUAAAUCAGUCCACAAUUAAAGGUCAUUUUAUAGGGGAAUUUAAUAUAUAAAAGAGUGCAUAAACAUUAGGCAUGUGAGGCUGAGCUUAUGACAAAGAGAAGGGUAUCAGAAGCAUGCAAAAGGUUCAAGUCAAAAGACUUUUUUGAAAAAUAUAGUCUAGUUUCAAUGAUUGCAAGAAGCCAAAUUACAUAGAGAAGCAGAAGUUGAAACAAAAGGGUUUCAAAUCCAGUCGAGCCACUUCAAACAGAUAAAAUAGCUUCAGAAGCUUGGUUAAGUCCCAAAUAAAUUAGGAUUUUGAAACCAAUCAAAUUCAGGGAUGAUAAACACGUAAAUUACACAGAAAAUAGUCCUAGAACUUGAAUGAACCCCAAACACAAAUAAUCGAACAAAUACUAACACAGAAAUAUGUUCAGAAACCUCAAGAGAAACUAAGACUCUUGACAUGCAAACACCAAUAAAAGAAUAACAUAAGGAAACACAACAGAAUAUGUUGAAAAUCAGAGAAAGCUUCAAAAAUAACUUAACAAAAGAUAAAUCGAAAAAAAAUAAGGGUUCUUGAAGGUAGAGUUUUGAAAGAAAACCUUGAGAAAACACUUAGAAGUUUAGAUCAAACAUAGAUCUAAAACAGAUCUAGAAGAAAUCGGAAGAACCUCAAUGGUUAGGGUUUUAGAAGGAACCCGGAUGGUGAGAAAGGCUUGGAAAAUCAUCGGUCUAAGCAGGAGAAGUCAAGAAUCGAGCUUGAAUAGCCAUGGCUGGUCGGAGCAAUGCCAAAAAUGACCGGAGAUAGCCAUAGAACAGAAAUCAACCAAGGUCUGGACCAAAAUUUUCCAAGAUUCAGCCUUGAAACCAUGAUAAUCGGGCAUAUAGAAGCCAAAUGAGGUAGAUACAGGCCUCCAAUGGCUUUGGAAGUCAUUGAUUUGGGAGAUUUUAGAUGGUGAUUGAGGGUGGCGGCUAGGGUGUGAGAGGGGGUCGAGAAAGAAUUGAGAGAACAAAGGGAUUUAGAGGCGGCUGAAU